GCGCGAAAACUCCGCAAUGCGCGAAAGCGUGACGGGGUCAUCCCGAGUGCCGUCCGCUGAGGAUGGCUUUUGCCCGGUUUAACUAGUCGGGUGAAUAAGGGGAGGGCAAGUCUGGUGUCAGCCGCCGCGGUAAUACCAGCUCCCCGAGUGGUUGGGACGAUUAUUGGGUCUGAAGCGUCCGUAGCCGGCCGAAAAAGUUCCCCGUUAAAUCUGGCGAUCCAAUCGUUAGGCUGCGAGGAAUACUUUUCGGCUUGGGGGGCAGGGAGGUCGGCGGUAGUCCCGGGGUAGGGGCGAAAUCCUAUAAUCCCGGGAGGACCACCAGUGGCGAAGGCGGCCGACUAAAACGCGCCCGACGGUGAGGGACGAAAGCUGGGGGAGCGAACGGGAUUAGAUACCCCGGUAGUCCCAGCUGUAAACGAUGCAGGCUAGGUGUUGGGACGGCCACGAGCUGUCCCAGUGCCGCAGGGAAGCCAUUAAGCCUGCCACCUGGGAAGUACGGCCGCAAGGCUGAAAUUCUUGAGAGUUUUGAAAAUCAAUGCUCUCGGAACAGUUUACUAAAGGAAGUU
Molecule: ribosomal RNA, 566 nt
Filed under: uncultured archaeon
Lineage: Archaea
Description: bacterial SSU rRNA
Rfam family: Archaeal small subunit ribosomal RNA
Source: RNAcentral